Molecule: non-coding RNA, 688 nt
Organism: Vicugna pacos (alpaca)
Lineage: Eukaryota; Metazoa; Chordata; Mammalia; Artiodactyla; Camelidae
Source: RefSeq, a predicted model, not a curated record
AGACUGACACAGGAAGUGAGCUAUCUCAAUUUUUGAUCCAGCGAUUUGGACAUACUGCUUCCCCAAGUUCCCACCCUCCACCUCUGCCCACAUCAUUAGAGAACAGAGGAGGAUCUUCUCUGAGCUGCUUCCAAGGAACAGGCAGAUGAAGGCCCCAUUGUGGUUCCAGCUGCCUGCCUGGGAAAUGAAAGCAUCUUUGCCUCUAGAAAAUCCUGGUUAGAAUCUGCAUCUCUAAUUCCCCUGGGAAUGAAGAAACACCAAGCAGAGGGCCUCUAUGGUGGGUAAACGAAACCCAACUCAUCUGAAAAUCACUCCAUCUCCUCCCCUUCUUCUUGGUGUUUAGUGUAGGCAAACAGCCCAGGUCAUCACCACAUGGCUUUCAUUUUUUGUUUUUUCUGUUUUUUUUUUACUUAAGAAGAGAAAAAUGGUCUAAAUGAGGACAGAAAUUCUCCAUAUCAAUGGUUGAGUUCCUAAGGUCUCUUGUCGCUGAAAGUGGCCAGAUGAACUUCAGGCAGAUUAUAAGUGAGCAAAAGGAUCGUGUAGACUGUGUGGGUUUGAGGGAGGCUGUUUAGAUAGAGUAGAUGCAGCUGAGUUGGCCCUUUGACUCUUCCUCUUUCCUCCUUCCUGCCUCAGAGGUGAACUCAUGGAGGCAGAUCAAGUCCCGUGCUCCAGCAGCCAUUUUGGACCA